AGUGGAUGGGGAACAACCUAGUUGUGCGUGUGUAAAGGUAGUGCCAAGAAAAGCGGUGAUCAUGAUGAAAAUCAAUUCCCGGUACCCGAAACCGACACAGGUGGGCAAGUAGAGAAUUCUAAGGGGCGCGAGGUAACUCUCUCCAAGGAACUCGGCAAAAUGACCCCGUAACUUAGGGAGAAGGGGUGCCACCGAGAGGUGGUCGCAGUGAAGAGGCCCAGGCGACUGUUUAGCAAAAACAUAGGUCUCUGCAAACUCGAAAGAGGAGGUAUAGGGGCUGACGCCUGCCCAGUGCCGGAAGGUUAAAGAAGUUGGUCAGUCUUAGGAUGAAGCUAGCGACUGAAGCCCCGGUGAACGGCGGCCGUAACUAUAACGGUCCUAAGGUAGCGAAAUUCCUUGUCGGGUAAGUUCCGACCCGCACGAAAGGCGUAACGAUCUGGGCGCUGUCUCGGAGAGAGGCUCGGCGAAAUAGGAUUGUCUGUGAAGAUACGGACUACCUGCAUUUGGACAGAAAGACCCUAUGAAGCUUUACUAUAGCUUGGAAUUGUGUUCGGGCUUCCUGUGCGCAGGAUAGGUGGGAGGCGUAGAAGGUAUUCUUGUGGGGAUACUGGAGCCAACGGUGAGAUACCACUCUCAGGAGGCUAGAAUUCUAACUUAAUUAAGGACAGUUUCAGGUGGGUAGUUUGACUGGGGCGGUCGCCUCCAAAAAGGUAACGGAGGCGUACAAAGGUUCCCUCAGACUGGUUGGAAAUCAGUCGCAGAGUGCAAAGGCAGAAGGGAGCUUGACUGCGAGAAGUACAGUUCGAGCAGGGUGGAAACACGGUCUUAGUGAUCCGACGGUGCUGUGUGGAAGGGCCGUCGCUCAACGGAUAAAAGUUACUCUAGGAUAACAGGCUGAUCUCCCCCAAGAGUUCACAUCGACGGGGAGGUUUGGCACCUCGAUGUCGGCUCAUCGCAACCUGGGGCGGAAGUACGUCCCAAGGGUUGGGCUGUUCGCCCAUUAAAGCGGUACGUGAGCUGGGUUCAGAACGUCGUGAGACAGUUCGGUCCAUAUCCGAUGUAGGCGUGAGAAUAUUGAGAGGAGCCUUCCUUAGUACGAGAGGACCGGGAAGGACGCACCGCUGGUGUACCUGUUAUGAUGCCAAUUGUAAACGCAGGGUAGCCAAGUGCGGAGAGGAUAACCGCUGAAAGCAUCUAAGUGGGAAGCCCACCUCAAGAUGAGUAUUCUGGUGUAAGGUCACGGGAAGACGACCCGUAAAUAGGCACGAGGUGGAAGUGCAGAGAUGUAUGAAGCCGAAGUGUACUAAUAGACCGUCGGCUUGAUC
RNAcentral lists this ribosomal RNA (1325 nucleotides) under metagenome. Its description in RNAcentral is "bacterial LSU rRNA". It matches the Rfam family "Bacterial large subunit ribosomal RNA", at positions 1561 to 2925 of the family's 2925-position model. The record is from RNAcentral.